UGAGGAAUAUUGGGCAAUGCCCGCAAGGGUGACCCAGCAACGCCGCGUGGAGGAUGAAUGUCGUAAGAUUGUAAACUCCUGUUAGAGGGGAAGAAUAGUACCGGUUGGACCGGUAUAUGACUGUACCCUCAGAGAAAGCCCCGGCUAACUACGUGCCAGCGGCCGCGGUAAUACGUAGGAUGCGAGCGUUGUCCGGAUUCACUGGGUGUAAAGGGAGCGCAGGCGGGCUUUCAAGUCAGUGGUGAAAUCUCACAGCUCAACUGUGAAAUUGCCGCUGAUACUGUAGGCCUUGAGUACGGAAAAGGGUGAUAGAAUUCAUGGUGUAGCGGCGAAAUGCGUAGAUAUCAUGAAGAAUACCAGUUGCGAAGGCGGUCACCUGGUCCGUUACUGACGCUCAUGCUCGAAAGUGUGGGGAGCAAACA
RNAcentral lists this ribosomal RNA (422 nucleotides) under uncultured bacterium. RNAcentral describes it as "bacterial SSU rRNA". It matches the Rfam family "Bacterial small subunit ribosomal RNA", at positions 355 to 774 of the family's 1533-position model. The record is from RNAcentral.